This 606-nucleotide ribosomal RNA is filed under the name Triticum aestivum (bread wheat). RNAcentral describes it as "partial small subunit ribosomal RNA". Lineage: Eukaryota; Viridiplantae; Streptophyta; Magnoliopsida; Poales; Poaceae. The record is from RNAcentral.
AUGGCCGCGUUUCGGGAUGUGCUGAUGGCAUGUGAGUUAGUCGAUCUGGGGUUUUCUGGCAUAGCUUAUACAUACAAGAAUAUGCAAUCGGGUUCUGCAAAUGUACGUGUGCACCUGCAUCAUGCGGUGGUAACAAAUGAUUGGAGGAACAUGUACACAUACUCUUCUAUGCAACACCUUGCAUCCUCUUGCUCGGACCAUAUCCCAUUGCUACUGAGGUUUAAUGCAGAGCAGGAGAGGCCUAGAGCCAAGGCACGUCGGUAUGAAAUCUUUUGGGAACGUGACGCAGAAUUGCCAGAUCUUAUAUAUAAGGCGUGGUCGGGCUUAGGUGCAAUGGAGGACCUGGGACAUGUUAGUGCUGUCUUGAAAUCUACCAUGACAUCCCUUCGUCCAUGGAGUAACAAAAGGUUUGGGAACAUUACAAAGGAAAUAAAUAAAUCACGCAGCCAGCUUGAGGAGCUAAUGAGAAUGAAUGCUGAUAGGAAGGAAAUAAUAAAGGUGUCUGACAAACUCAAUGAACUUCUGUACAAAGAGGAGAUGCUAUGGUUGCAACGUUCGCGUAUCAUGUGGCUAAAAGAGGGAGAUAGGAAAAAAAUUCCAGAGUAA